AGGCUUUUCAGCCGAGUGUUUCGUUCCUAUAUUCCGCGUUGUCGGCGCAAGCUGACUAUGGCGAUACACGGUCGUUGGAAUAAGCCCAUCGGACCCGGGGGCGGUACCCGGCGCCUCCACCAGAACCGAUCCGGACGGGUCGGCUGUGGCGGGGGCGAAACAGGAUCGACGAGGGUGUAAAGAACGCGCCGUCGCCCGGCAUGGUACCGCCGUUAUCGGGCCGUACAAUAGUUGCGAACGACAACUAUGCUCCGGUUGCUCAGGCCGCGUAACGCGGUCUGAAAAGCCGAUCCAAGCCCUGACGGGUUAGCUCCGUCAGGCGGGGUUCGGAGGCACCUGGCAACAGAAGCCUCCACU
This 357-nucleotide transfer-messenger RNA is filed under the name Tepidamorphus gemmatus. Its description in RNAcentral is "Alphaproteobacteria transfer-messenger RNA". It matches the Rfam family "Alphaproteobacteria transfer-messenger RNA". Rfam says of the family: Bacterial tmRNA, also known as 10Sa RNA or SsrA, is named for its dual tRNA and mRNA-like properties. Its role is to liberate the mRNA from a stalled ribosome. Lineage: Bacteria; Pseudomonadati; Pseudomonadota; Alphaproteobacteria; Hyphomicrobiales; Tepidamorphaceae. The record is from Rfam by way of RNAcentral.